UGGCUCAGCCCGUUAAACAACUGACUCUUGAUUUCAGCUCAGGUCAUGAUCUCAGGGUUGUAGGACUGAUUUCUGCGUCAGGCUCCAAGGUCAGUGGGAAGUCUGCUUCAGAUUCUCUCCCUCUCCUUUGAUCCCUUUCCCCUCACUGCAUACACACUGUCUCUCUAAAAUAAAAAAUUAAAAAAUCUUUAAAACAAAACACAAACACCUGCAUAAUGCAUAGCCUGUAUUAGGGACACAGUACAUUUAGCUACCUUCCUGUAGAAAUUAGUGAAGUCAUAAAGUUACCACCCUCAUUGCUUAUUACAUGAGAAGAAAUAAUCAUUGCUAAUGUAUGGUGGUCUCAAGGCAGCUGAGUCUAAUAACAUCACACCAAGGAAGGGAUUUAUUGUUCCAUAGGUAUGUAUCAAUAAGUUUUGAUACAAUUCGUCUCCAGGGAAGAGAACUGAGGAGUGCCUGAAGGGCAGGGAUAAGAAAGAAACUUCACACUAUAUAACAUUUUGUGCUUUUUAAAUUCUGAAUCUUACAAAUUAUUUAUCCACUAUUAAAAAUACAAUUAAAGAAACAAAAGUCCUUGCCCUCCCCAUUCCAUAUGGGGAAAGUAAAACAUAUGUAUGAGUGAAAACUCAGGAAAGUGUGGGGGUACACUCACCCAAGAUGGGCACCUCUGGUGUCUUUAACUCAAAGAUAUUCAUACUGAACCUUCAGCAAUUACAGUGCAAGUUUUCCCACCAUGGUGCUACUGGUGCCCAUGGAGAUUUCUGUUCUUGGGCUUCAACUCCAAUAGCACAAGUCUCUGGAUCUUACUGAAUCUCCAACUCUG
This is a long non-coding RNA of Lontra canadensis (Northern American river otter), 823 nucleotides long. RefSeq lists it as uncharacterized. Lineage: Eukaryota; Metazoa; Chordata; Mammalia; Carnivora; Mustelidae. The record is from RefSeq and is a predicted model, not a curated record. The transcript is spliced from 3 exons.